GAUGAACGCUGGCGGCGUGCCUAAUACAUGCAAGUCGAACGCACAGCGAAAGGUGCUUGCACCUUUCAAGUGAGUGGCGAACGGGUGAGUAACACGUGGACAACCUGCCUCAAGGCUGGGGAUAACAUUCGGAAACAGAUGCUAAUACCGAAUAAAACUCAGUGUCGCAUGACACAAAGUUAAAAGGCGCUUUGGCGUCACCUAGAUAUGGAUCCGCGGUGCAUUAGUUAGUUGGUGGGGUAAAGGCCUACAAAGACAAUGGUACAUAGCCGAGUUGAGAGACUGAUCGGCCACAUGGGGACUGAGACACGGCCCAAACUCCUACGGGAGGCUGCAGUGGGGAAUCUUCCACAAUGGGCGAAAGCCUGAUGGAGCAACGCCGCGUGUGUGAUGAAGGCUUUCGGGUCGUAAAGCACUGUUGUAUGGGAAGGACAGCUAGAAUAGGGAAUGAUUUUAGUUUGACGGUACCAUACCAGAAAGGGACGGCUAAAUACGUGCCAGCAGCCGCAGUAA
RNAcentral lists this ribosomal RNA (513 nucleotides) under uncultured bacterium. Its description in RNAcentral is "partial 16S ribosomal RNA". It matches the Rfam family "Bacterial small subunit ribosomal RNA", at positions 28 to 523 of the family's 1533-position model. The record is from RNAcentral.